This 334-nucleotide unclassified non-coding RNA is filed under the name uncultured fungus. RNAcentral's name for it is "partial contains small subunit ribosomal RNA, internal transcribed spacer 1, and 5.8S ribosomal RNA". The stretch from base 1 to 73 matches the Rfam family "Eukaryotic small subunit ribosomal RNA", at positions 1759 to 1831 of the family's 1831-position model. Lineage: Eukaryota; Fungi. The record is from RNAcentral.
CCAAACUUGGUCAUUUAGAGGAAGUAAAAGUCGUAACAAGGUUUCCGUAGGUGAACCUGCGGAAGGAUCAUUAACGAGUGAGGGUUUCCCUUGCGGGCCCAAUCUCCACCCGUGUUUAUCUUUACCUGUGUUGCUUCGGCGGGUCCACUGGGGCCUCAAUCACCCCGGUCGCCGGGGGGUUUCUCUACAGCUCCUGUAGAACCCCCGGGCCCGUGCCCGCCGGAGACCCAAUCGGAACCUUCGAAAUGAAAUCUUUAGUGAGUCUGAGUGGUUAACAAUCGUUAAAACUUUCAACAACGGAUCUCUUGGUUCCAGCAUCGAUGAAGAACGCAGC